UACGAGGGGGGCAAGCGUUGUUCGGAAUUAUUGGGCGUAAAGGGCGCGUAGGCGGUGCGGUAAGUCACCUGUGAAACCUCUAGGCUCAACCUAGAGCCUGCAGGCGAAACUGCCGUGCUUGAGGGUGGGAGAGGUGCGUGGAAUUCCCAGUGUAGCGGUGAAAUGCGUAGAUAUUGGGAGGAACACCAGUGGCGAAGGCGGCUCACUGGACCGGUUCUGACGCUGAGGCGCGAAAGCGUGGGGAGCAAACGGG
Molecule: ribosomal RNA, 253 nt
Filed under: uncultured bacterium
Lineage: Bacteria
Description: partial 16S ribosomal RNA
Rfam family: Bacterial small subunit ribosomal RNA
Source: RNAcentral